Molecule: ribosomal RNA, 492 nt
Filed under: uncultured bacterium
Lineage: Bacteria
Description: partial 16S ribosomal RNA
Rfam family: Bacterial small subunit ribosomal RNA
Source: RNAcentral
AGUGAACGCUGGCGGUAGGCCUAACACAUGCAAGUCGAACGGCAGCACAGUAAGAGCUUGCUCUUACGGGUGGCGAGUGGCGGACGGGUGAGGAAUACAUCGGAAUCUACUUUUUCGUGGGGGAUAACGUAGGGAAACUUACGCUAAUACCGCAUACGACCUACGGGUGAAAGCAGGGGAUCUUCGGACCUUGCGCGAUUGAAUGAGCCGAUGUCGGAUUAGCUAGUUGGCGGGGUAAAGGCCCACCAAGGCGACGAUCCGUAGCUGGUCUGAGAGGAUGAUCAGCCAAACUGGAACUGAGACACGGUCCAGACUCCUACGGGAGGCAGCAGUGGGGAAUAUUGGACAAUGGGCGCAAGCCUGAUCCAGCCAUACCGCGUGGGUGAAGAGGGCCUUCGGGUUGUAAAGCCCUUUUGUUGGGAAAGAAAAGCAGCAGGUUAAUACCCCGCUGUUCUGACGGUACCCAAAGAAUAAGCACCGGCUAACUUCGUG